RNAcentral lists this unclassified non-coding RNA (400 nucleotides) under uncultured fungus. Its description in RNAcentral is "sequence contains ITS1". The stretch from base 1 to 105 matches the Rfam family "5.8S ribosomal RNA", at positions 50 to 154 of the family's 154-position model. The record is from RNAcentral. Lineage: Eukaryota; Fungi.
GAAAUGCGAUAAGUAAUGUGAAUUGCAGAAUUCAGUGAAUCAUCGAAUCUUUGAACGCACAUUGCGCUCUUUGGUAUUCCGAAGAGCACGCCUGUUUGAGUAUCGAAAAAACCAUCACGACUUGGUCUUGGAGUUCGCUCCGAUCGACUUUGAGACGUGGAUUUGGAUUGUCCUGCCGGAUUCGUUCGGUCAGGCAGUCUCAAAAAAGAGCGUUGGAAGCUGGAUCUCCUCUUACUGGGAUCGCUGCCCGAAAUGUUAUGAAUUGAGGUCCCCUCUCUGAGGGGAUAUCUUCAUUUUUCUUUCUUGCAGUUCGAGCCCGGUGGAGAACCGGUCGACCGAUAAACCCACUACCACACGAGGGGUCGCGCUUGCGCGAUUCGUCGAAAACUUGGUCUCAAAU